AGAAAAAUUGAUUGAUAUUGAACAACAGAUAGUACACCUACACUUUAGAGAUGGUGUAUAGUGGUGUAAUCACAUAAUGAAUGCUUGAUAGAAGAAUGAUAUUUCCUUGCUAAGCAGCUUUUUGUACAACAGAAAUUUGGACUAACCACAAAUAUAGCAAUGAAGUUAUUGAUUUGUAACAGGUUAUAGGAAAGUUUCAGUCUGGUUACACCAGACCUUUAGCUUUUGUAUUCAUAGUCAAUCGAACCAGAAUUUACAUCUUCAUUGUUGUCAACCGUGACACUAAAGAGAUUGGUCUUAUUUCCACCAUUAGUGAGCUAAGAAGAACUGAAGUUGGGGUAGAGACCGAUGAUUGGUCUUAUUUCCGCAAUUGAAUAUCAUCUUCACUAACUAUUAACUAAAUACAAAUAAAAAAAUUCUGUAAUUUAAUAAAUAAAAUUAAAACAAAGUUAGAUGAUGUGAUUGAACUUACCUAUAUAUAAAUCUGGUAAAUCGCUGAGCCUGUGUAAUCUAAUAAAUAAAACACUUGUUUCUGCCAUCGAGCUCCAAACAAGCUUUGUUGGCGGCAGCUGCUGCUCUUCUUU
This 584-nucleotide long non-coding RNA is filed under the name Aquilegia coerulea. Its description in RNAcentral is "long non-coding RNA (ACOE_LNC000777)". Lineage: Eukaryota; Viridiplantae; Streptophyta; Magnoliopsida; Ranunculales; Ranunculaceae. The record is from RNAcentral.